Molecule: transfer RNA, 84 nt
Filed under: Parcubacteria group bacterium SW_6_46_9
Lineage: Bacteria
Description: tRNA-Tyr
Rfam family: tRNA
About the family: Transfer RNA (tRNA) molecules are approximately 80 nucleotides in length. Their secondary structure includes four short double-helical elements and three loops (D, anti-codon, and T loops).
Source: RNAcentral
GCGUCGGUAGCGAAGUAGUCAAACGCAUUGGUCUGUAAAACCAACGGCUUUAUGCCUUCGUAGGUGCAAAUCCUACCCGGCGCA